RNAcentral lists this ribosomal RNA (762 nucleotides) under uncultured Streptococcaceae bacterium. Its description in RNAcentral is "bacterial SSU rRNA". It matches the Rfam family "Bacterial small subunit ribosomal RNA", at positions 79 to 828 of the family's 1533-position model. The record is from RNAcentral. Lineage: Bacteria; Bacillati; Bacillota; Bacilli; Lactobacillales; Streptococcaceae.
ACACCGUAUUCUGUGAGUUGCGAACGGGUGAGUAACGCGUAGGUAACCUGCCUGGUAGCGGGGGAUAACUAUUGGAAACGAUAGCUAAUACCGCAUAAGAACAUUUACUGCAUGGUAGAUGUUUAAAAGGUUGCAAAAGCAUCACUACCAGAUGGACCUGCGUUGUAUUAGCUAGUUGGUGAGGUAACGGCUCACCAAGGCAACGAUACAUAGCCGACCUGAGAGGGUGAUCGGCCACACUGGGACUGAGACACGGCCCAGACUCCUACGGGAGGCAGCAGUAGGGAAUCUUCGGCAAUGGGGGGAACCCUGACCGAGCAACGCCGCGUGAGUGAAGAAGGUUUUCGGAUCGUAAAGCUCUGUUGUUAAGGAAGAACGUGUGUGAGAGUGGAAAGUUCACACAGUGAUGGUACUUAACCAGAAAGGGACGGCUAACUACGUGCCAGCAGCCGCGGUAAUACGUAGGUCCCGAGCGUUGUCCGGAUUUAUUGGGCGUAAAGCGAGCGCAGGCGGUUAGAUAAGUCUGAAGUGAAAGGCAGUGGCUCAACCAUUGUAGGCUUUGGAAACUGUUUAACUUGAGUGCAGAAGGGGAGAGUGGAAUUCCAUGUGUAGCGGUGAAAUGCGUAGAUAUAUGGAGGAACACCGGUGGCGAAAGCGGCUCUCUGGUCUGUAACUGACGCUGAGGCUCGAAAGCGUGGGGAGCGAACAGGAUUAGAUACCCUGGUAGUCCACGCCGUAAACGAUGAGUGCUAGGUGUUAGGU